UACGUGGUGGAGAUGGUGAUGAUCAGCCAAAUCAAGAGAACGAAAUUUUGAUGAUGAAGAUGAACUGAUUUUGAGAUAGAGCUUGAUGUAAUGGGAAUAAAACCCAAAAGGAGAACAUGGGAGCUGGACGUGAAUUAAAAGCACUCACACAUCAGCAGGAACAACAUCAUUCACAUACGGCUGGAGCACUCAUGCUAUUUUUCGUGAGGUGGGUUCUUGGCUGGCAGACUUCACGGAUGGCACAGGAGAAGAAAGGAAUCCUUUUUCGUUUGAGUGGAAAGAGGGCUACGACUUUUUCGUUUAGUCAAGCUACUUUUCGUUCAUUUGAGGAAGAGAUACGGAUUGAGAGAAUUGGAGAGAGGAGUACAGAAUUUUCAACUACACGAAAUGAAGGAAAAUAAGCAAGAAGAAGAGUCAACAUUUUCGGAAAGCAAGGGGCUGGAAUUGGAAUUAGCUGAAGGGGUAGGCAGCAGCAGAAUUGGUGGGAGUUGAGAGAGGGAGAGACGUGUGAAGAAAAGUCAUGAGCAAACAAAAAGAAAUAAAAAGCAAAAGCCGGAAAGAAUAGGCGUGAGAGUGGGUGAGCAUGGAAUUUUAAAGUAAUCCGGUGAGGUUACGUAUGUUACAUGAGUAGAGAGGGUAGGAAAGGAGAAAAAGUGAGUAGGGAAUGAGUGUGUUAGCUGAAGUUAGCUGAACGUGGGCCCUCUCAUUAAAGAAAAGAAGUGAGAUGUUGGUUGAUAGGGGAUGCAGCCGAGAUUGAAGAAGUGAUAAGUGGGGUCAGUUUGGUAGAGUGGAGAACGAUUGGUUUAACUUGAAGAAAGGAAAGGGCAUUCUUCUGGACUGGAUAGCUGGCAAGAGGGAACGGACGAGCAGCAAAGCAGGGGUAGGCAGCAGCAGAAUUUGGAGGGGGAGUCAUUCUUCUUUUUCGGCUUGGACUGGAAAGCUGCUGCAGCAAGAAAGAAAAUCACAAUGCAACCACAUUACACAUGCAAUGAACACAGCAACACACGGCUAUAAAAGGAAAGAAAGCUGAAAUGAAGAGGGGUCGAUUUUCGGGAGCAGUAGCUUAGUUUAAAGUUUUUAUGCUUUUCAUUCAGACUUUGCAGUUGUUAGCUCGGGCAGUUUAUUUCAGUUGUUUUCUUAUUUUGUUUUCUGUUUAGAAGGAGCAGCAGUUUUUAGUUUAGUUUUUACCUAUUUUCCUUCCAUUUUUAGAAGCUGGAAGCAGCUGGCUUUGCUUUCAUACGGAGGAGGAGUUUUAGUUUUUAAAACUUGUUUUUAUUUUCAUUUAGAAGCUAGAACCAAGCAGCAGAAUUUUAUUUGAUCUACUUUCUUUUUCGUUUUA
Molecule: long non-coding RNA, 1339 nt
Organism: Carya illinoinensis
Lineage: Eukaryota; Viridiplantae; Streptophyta; Magnoliopsida; Fagales; Juglandaceae
Exons: 2
Source: RefSeq, a predicted model, not a curated record